Molecule: long non-coding RNA, 1102 nt
Filed under: Calidris pugnax (ruff)
Lineage: Eukaryota; Metazoa; Chordata; Aves; Charadriiformes; Scolopacidae
Description: lncRNA (ENSCPUG00000013632.1)
Source: RNAcentral
CACUUACCUCCCAUCCUAAUGGUUAUAAGGAUUUUGGGGUUUGUAAGGGUGAAAGGAUUCACUGAUAAAGAGGAAACUGUGUACGUGGUCCCAUACAAAGAGAGAGGCUCUGGUUAAUAGGGGUUAAAGUCAGUGCCCAACCAAAUCAGGCACAGGUCCAUCAGAGGGGGCUCACCUGGCACUCAUCUGAUGGAUUUAAUGGCAUUUCCUUGCUCUUGCUACGUGACCCAGGUUCAAGACCCUAGAUGAGUCCCAUGAUCCAGUUCCUUGCUGGAAGAUCAAGAUGUCUUGAGAAGUUGGGGAACUUAAUGUCCAACUGGCAGUUGAGAUGCUUUCCACAUGCUUCUCAUCUCAGUAUACUUAAUUACUCGGACUUCACUGCCUUCAUCUUGCUGGAUACAGAGUGUGGAGGGACAUCUGUCUCCCUUGGACAUCAGUCACAAAGGUUUGGAGAACUGGGCUGGCUGGGGAAGGCACUCAGGGAGCCCCCACAGAUGGGAAGAGGACAAUUCAGGAAGGCACACUGGAAAAUGCAGAGAGGAAGCCAGGAUGGUCCCAUCUGAUCUCCCUUUUCCAUUUUCCUUGCAGGUGGUACAGUCUGAAAAGACAGGAGUGUGGCAACAUGGAAUGUUUCAGACAGAGCAGGAUCUGGGCAAGGUCUGCCUUCAUUCACAGGUGGACACCCCUGAAUUCACAUCUGCAGGCAUCGACAAGACAGAAUGGCAGCCGGAUGAAUUCACCGCUUGGGAGCGAGCAGAGCGCGGUGCGGGUGGCCCUGCAGGCCUCCUUUUCACCAGGACCUCGAGCUGCACGGUUUUUUUAGGGCUUUCUCUGAGGCAAAAGCUUGUCAGGGAAUGUCUCCUUCCUGCCCUGCCACCCUGAAGUCCUAGACCACCCUGGGUCUAAAGCUGGUCUUACACAAGCCACCACCAAGACCAACGUGAGCAUCACAUUGUGAACACCCUCCACAUGAUAAUCCAGUUCCUGCCCACUGGAUUGAAAUUUAGGGAUCUUGGGUGUCUCUGGUCCCUGCCACGAGUCUCUUGGGAGACACUGAGUCAUCCGUCACGCAGUGCCUCAGUUUCCCUGCCUUUCAGAUGAG